UAAAGCUCAGAUUUAGAAAUCUGGCGCCUUCGGUGUCCGAGUUGUAAUUUGAAGAUUGUAACCUUGGGGUUGGCUCUUGUCUAUGUUUCUUGGAACAGGACGUCACAGAGGGUGAGAAUCCCGUGCGAUGAGAUGCCCAAUUCUAUGUAAGGUGCUUUCGAAGAGUCGAGUUGUUUGGGAAUGCAGCUCUAAGUGGGUGGUAAAUUCCAUCUAAAGCUAAAUAUUGGCGAGAGACCGAUAGCGAACAAGUACAGUGAUGGAAAGAUGAAAAGAACUUUGAAAAGAGAGUGAAAAAGUACGUGAAAUUGUUGAAAGGGAAGGGUUUGAGAUCAGACUCGAUAUUUUGUGAGCCUUGCCUUCGUGGCGGGGUGACCCGCAGCUUAUCGGGCCAGCAUCGGUUUGGGCGGUAGGAUAAUGGCGUAGGAAUGUGACUUUACUUCGGUGAAGUGUUAUAGCCUGCGUUGAUGCUGCCUGCCUAGACCGAGGACUGCGAUUUUAUCAAGGAUGCUGGCAUAAUGAUCCCAAACC
RNAcentral lists this ribosomal RNA (528 nucleotides) under Meyerozyma guilliermondii. Its description in RNAcentral is "eukaryotic LSU rRNA". It matches the Rfam family "Eukaryotic large subunit ribosomal RNA", at positions 103 to 646 of the family's 3401-position model. The record is from RNAcentral. Lineage: Eukaryota; Fungi; Ascomycota; Pichiomycetes; Serinales; Debaryomycetaceae.